Molecule: ribosomal RNA, 669 nt
Filed under: Triticum aestivum (bread wheat)
Lineage: Eukaryota; Viridiplantae; Streptophyta; Magnoliopsida; Poales; Poaceae
Description: partial small subunit ribosomal RNA
Source: RNAcentral
AUGAGUUCCUGCCUAUCCCAUAUGAUCAGAGAUCAUUCCCUUGACUUUGUUUGCCUGCAAGAGACCCAUAAGAAAAAAAAAUUGGACAGUUACUUCAGAAAGAUAGAUCCUCAUAGUAUGUUUGACUGGGAUUGGAUCCCAGACAUUGGGAAAUCACGAGGCAUCCUUUGUGGAAUGAAAAAGGAGAGGUUUGAAAUUAUUUCUUGGAGAAAAGGGAGAUUCAUUCUACAAGUUUGUUUCUUGGAUGUCAAAAUACAAAAAGUUUGGACAUUGUGUACAGUAUAUGGUGCUGCCCAUGAAUGUGACAAAAGUGAUUUCUUAGUGGAGUUAGCAGAUUUCUGUAGUCACAUUCAAACCCCUUUCCUUAUUGGAGGGGAUUUCAAUAUCCUCAGGCAUUGUGGAGAAAAAAACCAGAACUGGCACCACUCCACCCAUACUGACAUGUUCAAUUCAGUGAUUAACUCUAUGUGCUUGAGCGAGAUCCAUAUGCAUGGGGGUAUGUACACAUGGACUAACAAUCAAGCGCACCCGACGUUAGAAAAGUUAGAUCGUGUGUUGAUGAGUAAUGAUUGGGAGAGUAUGUUCCCUCUUGUUAAUGUUAGAAAGUUGGUUAGAGAUAUUUCAGACCAUAAUGCUCUCUUGGUGUCCUCGGACAAUAAUGUUGUAUGA